AUACGUAGGGAGCGAGCGUUGUCCGGAAUUACUGGGUGUAAAGGGAGCGUAGGCGGGACGGCAAGUCAGAUGUGAAAUACAUGGGCUCAACCCAUGGGCUGCAUUUGAAACUGCUGUUCUUGAGUGAAGUAGAGGUAAGCGGAAUUCCUGGUGUAGCGGUGAAAUGCGUAGAUAUCAGGAGGAACACCGGUGGCGAAGGCGGCUUACUGGGCUUUUACUGACGCUGAGGCUCGAAAGCGUGGGGAGCAAACAGGAUUAGAUACCCUGGUAGUCCACGCUGUAAACGAUGAUUACUAGGUGUGGGGGGACUGACCCCUUCCGUGCCGCAGUUAACACAAUAAGUAAUCCACCUGGGGAGUACGGCCGCAAGGUUGAAACUCAAAUGAAUUGACGGGG
RNAcentral lists this ribosomal RNA (396 nucleotides) under uncultured bacterium. RNAcentral's name for it is "partial 16S ribosomal RNA". It matches the Rfam family "Bacterial small subunit ribosomal RNA", at positions 523 to 918 of the family's 1533-position model. The record is from RNAcentral.